AAAGGAAUGGGGCCUCUCUGCUGGGUGGGGUCAGGUUAGCACACAACGAGUGAUGACGGCGUGCCUUCGUUCUGACCUGAUGGGAUGCCAGGAGGGCCACUCCCAUCCUGGGCAGGUGAGUGUCCUCCGUGGGCUGCUCUCUCCACCCAACACGUGAACUGUCCAACUAUCCAGCCAUCUUCAACCUUCCGCAUACUUCACCCCACCCAUCUGUCCACCACUCCUCCAAGUCUCCUGACCCCCGAACCCCCUUGGUCCACUCUUGUGGUAUCUGCUUGACCUCCCCAUGCUCAUCCCUCCUGAAGUCACAUCCCUCUCUGAGCCAUCCAGGACUGGGCGCGCGUGGGUGUGCGGAUGAGCAGAACACGAGGCAUUUCCACGGGGGGCCGAGUGGAAGGACAAGCAGAGACCAUACUCCUGGGGAUCACGCGAGGGCAGGCACAAGGUGGGGCGGUGGGUGGGACCCAGCUUUCCUAGAAAC
RNAcentral lists this long non-coding RNA (481 nucleotides) under Marmota monax (woodchuck). Lineage: Eukaryota; Metazoa; Chordata; Mammalia; Rodentia; Sciuridae. The record is from RNAcentral.